RNAcentral lists this transfer RNA (56 nucleotides) under Vibrio cholerae. RNAcentral's name for it is "tRNA-Gly". It matches the Rfam family "tRNA", at positions 1 to 54 of the family's 71-position model. Rfam says of the family: Transfer RNA (tRNA) molecules are approximately 80 nucleotides in length. Their secondary structure includes four short double-helical elements and three loops (D, anti-codon, and T loops). Further hydrogen bonds mediate the characteristic L-shaped molecular structure. tRNAs have two regions of fundamental functional importance: the anti-codon, which is responsible for specific mRNA codon recognition, and the 3' end, to which the tRNAs corresponding amino acid is attached (by aminoacyl-tRNA synthetases). tRNAs cope with the degeneracy of the genetic code in two manners: having more than one tRNA (with a specific anti-codon) for a particular amino acid; and 'wobble' base-pairing, i.e. permitting non-standard base-pairing at the 3rd anti-codon position. Lineage: Bacteria; Pseudomonadati; Pseudomonadota; Gammaproteobacteria; Vibrionales; Vibrionaceae. The record is from RNAcentral. RNAcentral also lists the same sequence under 1 other name.
GCGACACUAGCUCAGUUGGUAGAGCGCAACCUUGCCAAGGUUGAGGUCACGAGUUC